This 402-nucleotide ribosomal RNA is filed under the name uncultured bacterium. Its description in RNAcentral is "bacterial SSU rRNA". It matches the Rfam family "Bacterial small subunit ribosomal RNA", at positions 355 to 774 of the family's 1533-position model. The record is from RNAcentral.
UGGGGAAUAUUGGACAAUGGGGGAAACCCUGAUCCAGCAAUGCCGCGUGAGUGAAGAAAGCCUUAGGGUUGUAAAGCUCUUUCGCCCGCGAAGAUAAUGACGGUAGCGGGAGAAGAAGCCCCGGCUAACUCCGUGCCAGCAGCCGCGGUAAUACGGAGGGUGCGAGCGUUACCCGGAUUUACUGGGUGUAAAGGGCGUGUAGGCGGUUUCUCAAGUCCGAUGCUAAAGACCGAAGCUCAACUUCGGGAGUGCGUUGGAUACUGUGAGGCUAGACGGUCGGAGAGGGUAGCGGAAUUGCCUGAGUAGCGGUGAAAUGCGCAGAUACAGGAAGGAACGCCAAUAGCGAAAGCAGCUACCUGGACGAUUUGUGGCGCUGAGGCGCGAAAGCGUGGGGAGCAAACC